RNAcentral lists this ribosomal RNA (374 nucleotides) under Phycomenes cobourgi. RNAcentral describes it as "partial 12S ribosomal RNA". The record is from RNAcentral. Lineage: Eukaryota; Metazoa; Arthropoda; Malacostraca; Decapoda; Palaemonidae.
CCCUAUUAUAUCAACUGUAAAUAUUAACCGCUUAAGUAGUAAUUAGUUAUGGCCUCUAAACUUAAAGAAUUUGGCGGUAUUCUAGUCUAGUUAGAGGAACCUGUACUAUAAACGAUAGCCCCCGGAUUAUCUUACUUCAUUUUGUGGUCAGUUUGUAUACCGCCAUCAUAAAAUAAUGCUAAAAAUCAUAUAUUAUAAGAGAAUGUCUCUAGUAUGUUAGGUCAAGGUGCAGCUAAUAGUGAAGUAGCUAUGGGUUACAAUGUGUUAUAAAUAUAUGAAUUGUAGGUUGAAAAUUUAUAUGAAAGUGGAUUUAAUAGUAAGUGUAUUUUAAUAAGUUACAUUGAUAGUGGCUCUAGGAUAUGUACAUAUCGCCC